Molecule: ribosomal RNA, 252 nt
Filed under: uncultured bacterium
Lineage: Bacteria
Description: partial 16S ribosomal RNA
Rfam family: Bacterial small subunit ribosomal RNA
Source: RNAcentral
UACGUAGGUCCCGAGCGUUGUCCGGAUUUAUUGGGCGUAAAGCGAGCGCAGGUGGUUUAUUAAGUCUGGUGUAAAAGGCAGUGGCUCAACCAUUGUAUGCAUUGGAAACUGGUAGACUUGAGUGGGCGAGAAGUAUGCGGAAUGCGUGGUGUAGCGGUGAAAUGCAUAGAUAUCACGCAGAACUCCGAUUGCGAAGGCAGCAUACCGGCGCCCUACUGACGCUGAGGCACGAAAGCGUGGGGAGCAAAUAGG